RNAcentral lists this ribosomal RNA (1672 nucleotides) under Paractinolaimus macrolaimus. Its description in RNAcentral is "LSU rRNA". It matches the Rfam family "Eukaryotic large subunit ribosomal RNA", at positions 93 to 1531 of the family's 3401-position model. Lineage: Eukaryota; Metazoa; Nematoda; Enoplea; Dorylaimida; Actinolaimidae. The record is from RNAcentral.
GUGAAAAGGAAAUAGUUCAGCGCUGAAUCCCUUAGCCCCUGGUUAAGGGACCUGUGGCGUGAAGGAGAGCCUAUCUGUCUGGUUGUUGGCUUCGGAAUCUCCCUCGAAUGGGAACCCAAAGCAGGUGCGAGGCCUGUAACGAGGUGAUACCGGACAGUUUGAGCCUCCAUAGAGUCGGGUUACUUGAGAGUGUAGCCCAAAGCGGAAGGUAAACCCCUUCUAAAGCUAAAUAUUACCACGAGACCGAUAGCGAACAAGUACCGCGAGGGAAAGUUGAAAAGAACUUUGAAGAGAGAGUUCAAAAGGGCGUGAAACCGYUUARAAGAAAACGGACGGAGCCGUCAGGGGCCUUCGGGAAUCAGUCUUACGAUACGUGAAGGUAUCAUGGUCCAGAACGCGAGUCUGGCCGUGGUAUAGUAAAAAGUAGCGUUCGUUAGGCGCAUUUCUCGAGGGUAAGCACUGCGACCGAUACGAAAGGCCAAUGAAGCGUUUGGAUUGAGGGCGAGACCUCUCACGGGGACUCGUAACCAGUCUUUACGUCCUAGUCAUUGGACCGCAGUAUGUAUCGAGAGCCAAAGUAUGAAUAUACGUCGGCGUAAACGCUCGCUCGUAUAAUGGAUAGUUGGUCAAUGGUAUUGGUAUUUGCUCGCAGAUACCAGUCUAUUCGAUUCGGCUUUGAAGUUAUCGGCGACUCGAUGUAUAGGCGUCAGCAGUGUCAGUGUCGGUCAACCGUCCGACCCGUCUUGAAACACGGACCAAGGAGUCUAACAUAUGCGCGAGCUAAUGGGUGGAAAACCCAUAAGCGAAAUAAAAGUAAAGGCUGUUUCGGACAGCUAAGGUACGAUCCUAGUAUCCGAGCGAUAUUAGGCGCAGUACCGUCCCGUCCCGACCGUACAUCGGUAGGGCGGAGAUAGAGUGCAUACGUUGGGACCCGAAAGAUGGUGAACUAUGCCUGAGCAGAGCGAAGCCAGAGGAAACUCUGGUGGAGGUUCGUAGCGGUUCUGACGUGCAAAUCGAUCGUCAGACUUGGGUAUAGGGGCGAAAGACUAAUCGAACCAUCUAGUAGCUGGUUCCCCCUGAAGUUUCCCUCAGGAUAGCUGAUACUCGUUAAGAACGAAGUUUUAUCCGGUAAAGCGAAUGAUUAGAGGCAUUGGGGACGAAAUGUUCUCAACCUAUUCUCAAACUUUAAAUGGGUAAGAAGUCGAGCUUGCUCGAUCGAAGCCCGACAUAAGAAUUCGAGUAUCAAGUGGGCCAUUUUUGGUAAGCAGAACUGGCGCUGCGGGAUGAACCGAACGGCGAGAUAAGGCGCCCGAAUAAACGCUCAUAAGAGCCCAGGAAAGGUGUUAGUUGAUAUAGACAGCAGGACGGUGGCCAUGGAAGUUGGAACCCGCUAAGGAGUGUGUAACAACUCACCUGCCGAAUCAACUAGCCCUGAAAAUGGAUGGCGCUCGAGCGUUUUGCCCAUACUCGCCCGCUGGCGACAGAUUAAGCGUUUAGAGCGAAACGCCUAGUCGCAGCGAGUAAGGGGGUCGUGAUGGUAAGCGUCGAAGUUAGUCCGCGGGGACUAAUGGAGCUGCCAUCAGUGCAGAUCUUGGUGGUAGUAGCAAAUAUUCAAGUGAGAACCUUGAAGACUGAAGUGGAGAAGGGUUCCAUGUGAACAGCAGUUGCACAU